This 632-nucleotide unclassified non-coding RNA is filed under the name Dermacentor andersoni. RNAcentral's name for it is "uncharacterized LOC126538282". Lineage: Eukaryota; Metazoa; Arthropoda; Arachnida; Ixodida; Ixodidae. The record is from RNAcentral.
UAAAAGUCAGAUUGUAUUGAUACUCAGCAAAAACAAGGUAACUUAUCAUUACUAAUCAAUCCUUUUACUGAAAGGCAAGUUGCUCUUGUGCUGGAGCUGAGAAGAGGUCUGCUGCCUGCAAUGGGUCCAUCUCUCUCAAGUUAUCGCAGUAUUGUAACUCUCAAAGUUCAAAAAAGUAUGGUGGAAGCUGUUGCCACGGUUCCGAUCAGAAAAGACUGCCAGUAUAAAAGGGUCCACACCACUGAUCUCUACUACAGGGGAUGGACAGCACAUCGAGCACCCUCGACUGAAGCCAACCUUGUCCCGGAAGUUGGUGCUUCACAACUUUGCGGCAGCACUUCGUUUGCACGGCCUGUGGAGACAAGGUUUCUUAGACAUGGCCAUGGCCCUCAAGGAAGAUGCCGAGGCCACAGGCAGUUCCUCCAGUGACCGUGAAAAGGUCCCCUGUGGCACAAGUCUAAUUUGGCACCCCCACCUUUCUCCUGCAGCUUUUCUGUCUACAUAGCUAACCAGCAGCAAGUUUAUCCUUGCAAGCAUUUUGGGUCAAGAACAACUUCCACCAGGAAGAAGUGCAAGACGAGUGAUUGAAGAAAAUAAAGUUGCUUCUGUGAUCUAAGAACUUGAGGACUGAA